CCUUUUUUUUUUAUAAUCUAAUCUCUCCCUCUUUGGCAGAUCGGAAGCCACCCGCCGCCGGUUGCCGGAAAAAGAUAAGUCCUCCCUUCCCUCUCUUCUUCUCUUACCCCUUUUUCCCGUCUCUCUCUCUCUUUUUUUUUUUUUUACAGAAGCCCUAACCAUCUCUCUCUCUACCCUCUUCUCUCUCGUUUUGGCAGGACAAGGGCUAGCGGCUGUGACGCCGCCGCCGUCGCCGACCGUGAGCAGCCCCCGGCUGCUCUCACCUCUUUCCCCAUUUUCGGACAACACACACACAACAAAGACACAAGAAGCCCCCAAUUUCAGUCCAGAUUUACAAGUAUAGCAAAGCUAGGGUUUUGUUUAGAAAUUCUGUUCUUUCAUCAUUCAUUUAUCAUUUCCUUAGCAAAAAUCAAACCUUGUAAAUG
Molecule: long non-coding RNA, 425 nt
Filed under: Salvia miltiorrhiza (redroot sage)
Lineage: Eukaryota; Viridiplantae; Streptophyta; Magnoliopsida; Lamiales; Lamiaceae
Description: long non-coding RNA (SMIL_LNC013543)
Source: RNAcentral